GUGCAUGCAACAGGAGACGAGACAUACUAGGAGCAAGAAAAAUACACAACCUCUUCUUGAAGGCUUAAGCGAAGCAAGAGGGAGAAGGAGAGUCAGACGCCCAUNUAGGGAUUUGUUUCCUUCACCUGACAGAUUACUAUCACCUUCACCAGAUAGAAGAAUAGAGGAAAUGGCUGAGAGAACUCCUCCAAGACGCACUCUUGCAGACCAAUUAGAUAUGGUUGACCCUUUCCAUUUUAGCAGCAUAGUCAUGCCUGCAGAUCAAACGACCAACAUGGUGAUGAAUCCA
RNAcentral lists this long non-coding RNA (289 nucleotides) under Vigna radiata. RNAcentral describes it as "long non-coding RNA (VRAD_LNC011825)". Lineage: Eukaryota; Viridiplantae; Streptophyta; Magnoliopsida; Fabales; Fabaceae. The record is from RNAcentral.